RNAcentral lists this long non-coding RNA (1677 nucleotides) under Salarias fasciatus (jewelled blenny). RNAcentral describes it as "lncRNA (ENSSFAG00005002623.1)". Lineage: Eukaryota; Metazoa; Chordata; Actinopteri; Blenniiformes; Blenniidae. The record is from RNAcentral.
AUGGCCCACACCGAGAUCCGCCGCCUGACGGACGAGCUGGAGUCUGCACACAUGACCCAGAAGACCUACGAGCCUGAACUGGCAGCAGCUCAGCAGGAGGUGGAGCAGCUCAGACACCAAGUAGAAAAACUCAAGAAGUAUGAAAUGGUGGAGCUGCGGAAGGUCAAAGAGCUGAAUGACCGCCUGGACCUGGAGAGCCGAACCUUCAGAGGCAGAGUUCGCUGCCUGGAUGCUGAGAACAGCAAACUGCAGCAGAGGGUGGCGUCUCUGCAGGAGGAGGUGAAGCGGCUGGAGCAGCAGCUUGUCACGAGCCACACCCCCACUGCUCAAAAGCAGGAGGGACCGCUGCAGCCACAGAAAGUCAUAACAGAACAGUUUCAGGCUGAUGGAAAGGAUCCUAAAGCAGAGCCGACACAGAGCAACCAGAUGUGCAGAGAUCUGCAAGAAAAAAUCAACAUCCAAACCAAACAUCUGCUGCAAAAAGACUUAACUGUGGAGUCUCUCCAGAAGAAGGUGGAGCUGCUGAAGGCCGCCGUGCAGGAGCAGCAGCAGCAGCUCAUCACUGUGCAGCUUCAGGCCGACCGAGCCGCUCAGCUGGCCGAGUCUCGCUCGGCCGAACUGAUCCAGAGCAGUCAGACCUGCAGAGAUUUACAGAACACGGUCCGUUCUCUUCAGCAGCAGCUGGAGAAUUCCCACAACGACCUGGAGAACCUGAUCACUAAAGUCUGCACCAGAGAGAACGGCCUCCACAAUCAGAAGAUGUGGAAACAACAGACAGCAGAUUCACGGCUGUGUGAAGAUUUCUGUAAGCUAAAGAAUGAAGAACUGAAUGAAGAAAACAAGCAACAAAAGGAGCGUCUGGAAGAUCAGGAGGCGGUGAAGACGCUGUGGUCCACCAGAGACGAGUGUGAGACUCUGAAGGAGGAGAUCUGUGAAACCCUCAAACAUCUCGACAAGGAACAAAGUAAAUACCACGAGAUGAAGGAGAGACACAAAGCCAAACUGUGCCGAGCGAAGCAGAAAUUCAGCGACGUUACCGCUCUGCACAACGAGAAGAUAAACAGGCUGCAGAGAGAACUGUCCCUCUGCUCACAUUCACUGGCAAAGGAGAAAGAACUGGUGAAAAGCAUGAACGCUGAAAACGAGAAGCUGCUCAGUGAGAGGAGGAGAUUGAUUCAGCAGCUGGAUGAGGAGGAGCACAGCAAGAAAGACCUGCAGCUCUCGGCCGGUUUGUCCAGACGCAGGGUGGAUUUUUUAGAAGUGGAGAAUAAGAAACUGGGAAACAAAGUCCUCCAGUUGUCCGACCAGCUGGGCGUCCUGCAGCGCAGCCAGCAGAACAGGCGCUCGCUUCACUUCGCCGAGGAACUAAAGAAAAUCCUGAUCCUCCAGCAUCCCGCCCUGCAGACGUCCAGCGUGUCGGACGGUGCCAAGCGGGGCAGCGGCGGCGGCGGCGCGUCUCCCCCACACCGCCGCAUGUCGGGGUCCUUCGCUCCAUCGGCAGAGAUGGGCUACCUGAACCUGACCACUCAGUGCCAGACCGACCCCCCCAGCAUGGCCGACGGCAGCCAAUCAGAAAGCACGCUCUGCUGAUGGGGGUUGACCUACCUGCUGCCAGCUGUACAGACCUUAACCCUAACCCUAUUUAUCUAAUAAGUUAAAUAAAUAAUGGAAAAUGAG